UGUACAGCUUUGAAGACUUACACUGUCCCUUUAUAAUACCCAGAGAGCAGGCACAGCUCAGGCAAUCGCAGGGACAGUUUCUUCCACAUUGCCCCACAAAUGUGCUUCAACACAUCUCCGAAGGAAACACCCCUGGCAAGGAGAGGGUAGGUCUGUGUCUAUAGCCCAUUGAACCCCUGGCCUUU
Unclassified non-coding RNA from Chelonoidis abingdonii (Abingdon island giant tortoise), 185 nucleotides. Lineage: Eukaryota; Metazoa; Chordata; Testudines; Testudinidae. The record is from Ensembl.